CCACAAGUCAACACCAAAUUAUCCUUUCAACGGGAUUUAAUGUAGGCCGUGGAGAUAUUGAUAGCCGUGUUUCCCAUGAUUCUAUGUAAUGCUUAUUUUUAAUGAGUUGAUAUAUUGCUUGUAAAUUUGUGCUGAUAUAUUUAUCAUUAUGUUGGAGUCACGGAUUAUGAACAUAUUUACUUUGUGAUUGACUUACAUAUUUUUGUGUUUUAAGCUUAAACAUGAAACAGCCAGAAACAACAGUGCUGACAAUCAAGCAGCAAAGAAUUGCUUUAUCAGGCAAGAAGAGUAAAAACAGGGACCAGAGUGGCCACAGUGUGUUUACUUCACCAUACAGUCCUUAUUGGCCGGUGCUGGGGGAAGAUACAGAAGUGGACUUGAACCAGCUGCUUAUUAGAAGCAGGUGGCACAUACAGUUGUGAUUUGGUUUAAAAUGGUUGAAGCAUCUUGCAGCCAAUUAGGAAGCCUGCCAUCAAAGUGAAUUGGUCAGAGUUGAGAAAGGUGCCUUGUAAGCAGCGCAGGGAAAUGAGAAUGAAAUUGCAGCA
Molecule: non-coding RNA, 545 nt
Organism: Zootermopsis nevadensis
Lineage: Eukaryota; Metazoa; Arthropoda; Insecta; Blattodea; Termopsidae
Source: RefSeq, a predicted model, not a curated record